Molecule: non-coding RNA, 2416 nt
Organism: Delphinapterus leucas (beluga whale)
Lineage: Eukaryota; Metazoa; Chordata; Mammalia; Artiodactyla; Monodontidae
Source: RefSeq, a predicted model, not a curated record
GCACCGUGUACAGAAGGAAAAAAGCAAAGAACAGGAGUGCAGAGUUCCAGGCUGUGCAGCUGUGCCCACUGAGAAACUUGGAACUUGCUCUUCUCAGCUCUCUGCACCUCACAGGCCCUCCCUUCCCCCUUCAGACAUGCACCUCUGGACCAGAAUAGGAGAUGAGGUCUCCUAGUGAGGGCAGUGGAGCUACCUUCCAUAGAUGAGGAGGAUGUGAGUUAUGAAACAUAUCUGAGCUGUAUCCCAGAGAGUAGUAUGCCUCUGUGUGUGUGUAAGCCUGAGACUGCUAUCUUUAGAAAGGCCUGCUUGCAAGGUUGGCCUUUGGCUGGCACUUGGGAACUUGACUGGUAAACAGUUCUCUACACUGAUAUUACACUUUCCCUAAAUGGUAAGGACGGCUCACUGUGCCUGAAAUGCUUUUUACAAACAACGUGGUUGAUACUGAAUAUCGUCUGACAGUCUGGAAUCUUGACAUGUGCUCGGUAGACGGUGCUUAUGUGACCAGCCCCCAGUAACAACACAGGCUUCUCAAAUGAGCUUCCCUGAUAGACACGUGUGUGUUAUUACAGUUUGAUGCUGGGAAGGAAUUAAGUGCAUUCUGUAUGACUCCAGAGGGGAAGGACUCUAGGAAGCUUGUGCUUGGUCUCCUCAGGAUUUUGCCUCCUGUGCCUUUUCCCUUUGCUGAUUUUACUUUCUAUCCUUUCACUGUAAUAAAUCAUAGCCGUGAGUAUGAUUAUAUGCUGAGUCCUGGAGUCCUCCUAGCAAAUCAUUGAACCUGAGGAUGGCUUUGAGGAACCCCCAACGCAAUGAUCCCACCCAGGAUACCACAUUACAUUGAGUCGUCCUAUCUCUUUAGUCUCCUCUGGUCUUGCAGUUUCUCAGAACUUUCUUGGUUUUGAUGACAUUGACAGUUUUCAGUUUAGGAAAGAUUUGGACAGCAGAAACAGUGUGAGGAAUCCUCAGAAGAGAUGGUAGGGCAGCCUUAGGAAUAGAUGUGAUCACCCAGAGAGCAUCUGAAGAAAGAGAAGAAGGUAGGUCCAAGCAUGAGACCCUGGGGAAUACCAGCAUUUAAAAGGAGGCUGAGGGGCAUCCUAGGACUUCCCUGGUGGUCCAGUGGUUAAGACUUCACACUUGCAAUGCAGGUGGCCUGGGUUCAAUCUGUGGUCAGGGAACUAGGAUCCCACAUGCUGCAGGGCGUGGCCAAAAAAAAAAAAGGAGGUUGAAGAGGAAAAUGCCAUGGGAGAGACUGGGAAAGAACAGCCAAAGAAAUAGGAGGAGAAUCUGAAAAGCCAAAAGAGAAGACUCUGGAACUAGUCAUUGUCAGUGGUAAAGGCUGCAGAGUGGUCAAGGAGGACAGAGACUAAACAUGGCGGAAGGAGUUUCAGUGAUGUGGAGGGGUGGAAGUUAGAUUGCAGGGGAGUGAAGAGAGCAGAGGAAGCAGAGUGAGUGGCGACCACUCCUUACUAAGUUGGGCUACAAAAAGAGUGGAUUGUAAGGGACGUGCUCUGCUCUGUCUGGGUUGAGAGGCCCUUGACACAGGCUUUGGUGCUUUUGAAACAGUUGGCUGUUGGAGCACAGGUGCAGGGAGAGAGAGCCGGUCAGCAGUUACUCUCUCCCUCUGGUAACUGAGGAGAAGAGGGGAGACUACAUGGCCCCCACCAUUUGCAAUGGAAGGGGUGAUCUCACUCCACAGAGGCCUCCUGUUACACCCUCUUCCACUCAUACGGCCAGGGUUACCACCUAUGGGAGCAAGGCUGCUGAAACCCAGUCAAACUCUACCAGCCCAACCAAUCGCCCUGGUAGAGAGCUUUGUUCCAGAUUGCACAGAGUUACUAGAUGGGCUAGCAGUUUCCCUGCAUAUAGCCCUUCUCCAAGAAAAUUGGCCUUAGCUAAUCCUACUUGUCAUCCCCAAAAGGCAAAUAUGGGGAAGUCUUUUACUCUACAAAAGUAUGUACAAUAAAGGAGUACUCACUCAGAACCUUGCACCAGAAUCCAGUUGUACCUGGAAGGACGUUUUGUAUGCAGAGUAAUUGGCAUAACUUCAACAGUUAAGCACAUGAGCUCUGGAUUUGAGUACUGGCUCCACUACUUAAGUGAUCUUGGGUAAGUUACUUAACCUCUCUGUGCAAUAGGUUUUCUAUCUGUGGGACAAUAAUAAAAACCAUUAACAGCACUAUCGUUAUAAAGAGUACAUAAGAUAAUAUGUAUAAUGAGUUUUUAUCUGAGGGGUAAUAAUAGAACCUGCUAAUAGGGCUGUCAUUGUAAGGAUUAAAAGAGAUAAUAUGUAUAAAGUGCUUCAUAAUAUGUGCAAAUAUGACUGGCACAUAUUAGAUAUCAUACUCAUAUUCUAUUUAGCCCUCCUCAGUACUGAUUCAUUAUAAUGCUAUUUAUCUCUGAAAUAUUUUCCAUAAAAAUA